Molecule: ribosomal RNA, 222 nt
Filed under: uncultured bacterium
Lineage: Bacteria
Description: partial 16S ribosomal RNA
Rfam family: Bacterial small subunit ribosomal RNA
Source: RNAcentral
AGUAAUGUAUGGGGAUCUGCCUGAUGGCGGGGGAUAACUACUGGAAACGGUAGCUAAUACCGCAUAAUGUCUGCGGACCAAAGCGGGGGACCUCCGGGCCUCGCGCCAUCAGAUGAACCCAUAUGGGAUUAGCUUGUAGGUAAGGUAACGGCUUACCUAGGCGACGAUCCCUAGCUGGUCUGAGAGGAUGAUCAGCCACACUGGAACUGAGACACGGCCCAG